AUUUYUCUUAGACRAGACCCCUWCCAACCAACACAGUACCUCUAACUCUCCGUAAACUAUCCGCCCUUUUUUYUCUUAUUGCAUGUACUCCCCGGGCACCAARGGUUCUAUGUUUGGGUUUUGGGGGGAGUAUAUCGCAAGGCUGAAACUAAAGGAAUGACGAAGCACACAKCUGAAUUCCAAUA
This 185-nucleotide ribosomal RNA is filed under the name uncultured amoeba. Its description in RNAcentral is "partial 18S ribosomal RNA". The record is from RNAcentral.